Molecule: ribosomal RNA, 917 nt
Filed under: uncultured Candidatus Poseidoniales archaeon
Lineage: Archaea; Methanobacteriati; Thermoplasmatota; Candidatus Poseidoniia; Candidatus Poseidoniales
Description: bacterial SSU rRNA
Rfam family: Archaeal small subunit ribosomal RNA
Source: RNAcentral
UUCCGGUUGAUCCUGCCGGAGGCUACCGCUAUUGGAGUUCGAUUAAGCCAUGCGAGUCGCGAGAAAUUAGAUUCUCGGCGUACCGCUCAGUAACACGUGGGUAACCUGCCCUAUGCUGGAUAAUAACCUCGGGAAACUGAGAAUAAUGAUCCAUAGUUCACUACGCCUGGAACGGUGAGUGGAUGAAAGCUCCGGCGGCAUAGGAUGGGCCUGCGGCGUAUCAGGUUGUAGGGGGUGUAACGUACCCUCUAGCCCUCUACGCGUACGGGUGUUGGGAGACAUAGCCCGGAGAUGGAUUCUGAGACACGAAUCCAGACCCUACGGGGUGCAGCAGGCGCGAAAACUUGGCAAUGCGAGAAAUCGUGACCAGGGAACUCCAAGUGCAUCGGGUAAGACCGGUGCUUUUCUUGACUCUAAAUAGGUCUUGGAAUAAGGGGUGGGUAAGGACGGUGCCAGCCGCCGCGGUAAUACCGGCGCCUCAAGUGGUAGUCGCUUUUAUUGGGCCUAAAACGUCCGUAGCCGGUCUGAUACAUUCGUGGGUAAAUCAACCAGCUUAACUGGUUGAAUUCUGCGAGGACGGUCAGACUUGGGACCGGGAGAGGUGUGGGGUACGCUCAGGGUAGGGGUAAAAUCCUGUCAUCCUGAGCGGACCACCUGUUGCGAAGGCGCCACACUAGAACGGAUCCGACGGUCAGGGACGAAGCCUAGGGGCACGAACCGGAUUAGAUACCCGGGUAGUCCUAGGUGUAAACGCUGUGGACUUGAUGUUGGGGGUGCUCCGAGCACUCUCAGUGUCGAAGCGAAGGUGAUAAGUCCACUGCCUGGGAAGUACGGUCGCAAGGCUGAAACUUAAAGGAAUUGGCGGGGGAGCACCGCAACCUGAGGAUUGUGCGGUUUAAUUGGACUCAACGCCGGGA